CCCGCUGAACUUAAGCAUAUCAAUAAGCGGAGGAAAAGAAACUAACAAGGAUUCCCCUAGUAACUGCGAGUGAAGCGGGAAAAGCUCAAAUUUGAAAUCUGGCGGUUCUUGACCGUCCGAGUUGUAAUCUAGAGAAGUGUUACCUGUGCUGGACCGUGUACAAGUCUCCUGGAAUGGAGCAUCAUAGAGGGUGAGAAUCCCGUCUUUGACACGGACUGCCAGGGCUAUGUGAUGCGCUCUCGACGAGUCGAGUUGUUUGGGAAUGCAGCUCAAAUAGGGUGGUAAAUUCCAUCUAAAGCUAAAUACAGGCGAGAGACCGAUAGCGAACAAGUACCGUGAGGGAAAGAUGAAAAGAACUUUGGAAAGAGAGUUAAACAGUACGUGAAAUUGCUGAAAGGGAAACGCUUGAAGUCAGUCGCGUUGGCUAGAAAUCAACCUUGCUUUUGCUUUGUGUACUUUCUGGUUGACGGGUCAGCAUCAAUUUUGACCACUGGAUAAAGUCUUUGGGAAUGUGGCAUCUUCGGAUGUGUUAUAGCCCAUUGUCGCAUACGGUGGUUGGGAUUGAGGAACUCAGCACGCCGCAAGGCCGGGAUUUGACCACGUUCGUGCUUAGGAUGCUGGCAUAAUGGCUUUAAUCGACCCGUCUUGAAACACGG
This 656-nucleotide ribosomal RNA is filed under the name uncultured fungus. RNAcentral's name for it is "eukaryotic LSU rRNA". It matches the Rfam family "Eukaryotic large subunit ribosomal RNA", at positions 24 to 664 of the family's 3401-position model. The record is from RNAcentral. Lineage: Eukaryota; Fungi.